GAAUUCGAUUAACGCGAAGAACCUUACCUGGGCUCGAACGGCUUUGGAAGUCUGGUGGAAACAUUAGAUGCCCCGCAAGGGGCCGGAGUCGAGGUGCUGCAUGGCUGUCGUCAGCUCGUGUCGUGAGAUGUUGGGUUAAGUCCCGCAACGAGCGCAACCCUUGUCCUGUGUUGCUAUUCGCAAGAAGCACUCUCAGGAGACCGCCAGCGAUAAGCUGGAGGAAGGUGGGGAUGACGUCAAGUCAUCAUGGCCUUUAUGUCCAGGGCUACACACGUGCUACAAUGGACGGUACAAAGCGCAGCCAACCCGCGAGGGGGAGCAAAUCGCAAAAAACCGUUCUCAGUUCGGAUUGCAGGCUGCAACCCGCCUGCAUGAAGCUGGAAUCGCUAGUAAUGGCAUAUCAGAACGAUGCCGUGAAUACGUUCCCGGGCCUUGUCACACCGAAUCACUA
RNAcentral lists this ribosomal RNA (451 nucleotides) under uncultured soil bacterium. Its description in RNAcentral is "bacterial SSU rRNA". It matches the Rfam family "Bacterial small subunit ribosomal RNA", at positions 947 to 1384 of the family's 1533-position model. The record is from RNAcentral.